RNAcentral lists this transfer RNA (84 nucleotides) under Dichomitus squalens. Its description in RNAcentral is "tRNA-Tyr". It matches the Rfam family "tRNA". From Rfam's summary of the family: Transfer RNA (tRNA) molecules are approximately 80 nucleotides in length. Their secondary structure includes four short double-helical elements and three loops (D, anti-codon, and T loops). Further hydrogen bonds mediate the characteristic L-shaped molecular structure. tRNAs have two regions of fundamental functional importance: the anti-codon, which is responsible for specific mRNA codon recognition, and the 3' end, to which the tRNAs corresponding amino acid is attached (by aminoacyl-tRNA synthetases). tRNAs cope with the degeneracy of the genetic code in two manners: having more than one tRNA (with a specific anti-codon) for a particular amino acid; and 'wobble' base-pairing, i.e. permitting non-standard base-pairing at the 3rd anti-codon position. Lineage: Eukaryota; Fungi; Basidiomycota; Agaricomycetes; Polyporales; Polyporaceae. The record is from RNAcentral.
GGCACUAUAGCUAAGUGGUAAAGGUGAUCGGCCGUAAUCGAAACUGUGUCCGUGGCGCCGUAGGUUCGAACCCUACUAGUGUCU